Molecule: non-coding RNA, 72 nt
Organism: Danionella cerebrum
Lineage: Eukaryota; Metazoa; Chordata; Actinopteri; Cypriniformes; Danionidae
Source: the annotation of a GenBank genome assembly
UCCCAUAUGGUCUAGUGGAUAGGAUUCCUGCUUUUUACCCAAGUGGCCCGGGUUCGACUCCCGGUAUUGGAA